GUCUUCUUUUUGCUGAGCUUGAGGUGAGCACAUGAAAGUGUUCAAAUUGAAUUGUCUGUGCCAUGUACUGCUGGUCAUUUCUGCUACUGGAAUAGUGAUGAGUUCACAUUUUCGCCGUUUACCCAUCAGACCAUAGGUUUCUCUGCCAUGCUGUACACCAAAUAUGCGAGAAGAAGGCUUGUUUGCUGAUCUCAGCCUCUGAUCUGUCACUGUGACGUAUCAGGGAUGUGAGAGUCAGAUGUCUUCUUUUUGCUGAGCUUGAGGUGAGCACAUGAAAGUGUUCAGAUUGAAUUGUCUGUGCCAUGUACUGCUGGUCAUUUCUGCUACUGGAAUAGUGAUGAGUUCACAUUUUCGCCGUUUACCCAUCAGACCA
Molecule: long non-coding RNA, 373 nt
Organism: Lampris incognitus (smalleye Pacific opah)
Lineage: Eukaryota; Metazoa; Chordata; Actinopteri; Lampriformes; Lampridae
Exons: 3
Source: RefSeq, a predicted model, not a curated record